CCGGUACAGAGUCAAUGUGGAGGCUAUAUACAGGGGGUACUGGUACAGAGUCAAUGUGGAGGCUAUAUACAUGGUGUUAUGGUACAGAGUCAAUGUGGAGGCUAUAUACAGGGGGUACCGGUACAGAGUCAAUGUGGAGGCUAUAUACAUGGUGUUACGGUACAGAGUCAAUGUGGAGGCUAUAUACAGGGGGUACUGGUACAGAGUCAAUGUGGAGGCUAUAUACAGGGGGUACUGGUACAGAGUCAAUGUGGAGGCUAUAUACAGGAGGUACCAGUACAGAGUCAAUGUGGAGGCUAUAUACAUGGUGUUAUAGUACAGAGUCAAUGUGGAGGCUAUAUACAGGGGGGUACUGGUACAGAGUCAAUGUGGAGGCUGUUUACAGGGGGUACCGGUGCAGAGUCAAUGUGGAGGCUAUAUACAGG
This is a long non-coding RNA of Oncorhynchus tshawytscha (Chinook salmon), 425 nucleotides long. The record is from Ensembl. Lineage: Eukaryota; Metazoa; Chordata; Actinopteri; Salmoniformes; Salmonidae.